CACAAGCGGAGGAACAUGUGGUUUAAUUCGAUGAUACGCGAGGAACCUUACCUGGGCUUAAAUGCAGAGUGCAUGGAGUGGAAACACUUCUUCCCUUCGGGGCUCUUUGCAAGGUGCUGCAUGGUUGUCGUCAGCUCGUGCCGUGAGGUGUCGGGUUAAGUCCCAUAACGAGCGCAACCCUUAUCGUUAGUUGCCAGCGGGUAAAGCCGGGAACUCUAGCGAAACUGCCGGUGUAAACCGAGAGGAAGUGGGGAUGACGUCAAAUCAGCACGGCCCUUAUGUCCAGGGCUACACACGUGUUACAAUGGCCGGUACAGAGGGCAGCUACCUGGAGACAGGAUGCGAAUCUCGAAAGCCGGUCUCAGUUCGGAUCGGAGUCUGCAACUCGACUCCGUGAAGUUGGAAUCGCUAGUAAUCGUGGAUCAGCAUGCCACGGUGAAUACGUUCCCGGGCCUU
This 456-nucleotide ribosomal RNA is filed under the name uncultured Sphingobacteriales bacterium. RNAcentral describes it as "bacterial SSU rRNA". It matches the Rfam family "Bacterial small subunit ribosomal RNA", at positions 924 to 1382 of the family's 1533-position model. The record is from RNAcentral. Lineage: Bacteria; Pseudomonadati; Bacteroidota; Sphingobacteriia; Sphingobacteriales.